RNAcentral lists this transfer RNA (69 nucleotides) under Ovis aries (sheep). It matches the Rfam family "tRNA". Rfam says of the family: Transfer RNA (tRNA) molecules are approximately 80 nucleotides in length. Their secondary structure includes four short double-helical elements and three loops (D, anti-codon, and T loops). The record is from Rfam by way of RNAcentral. Lineage: Eukaryota; Metazoa; Chordata; Mammalia; Artiodactyla; Bovidae.
CCUGGUAGCUCAGACGGUAAAGCAUCUGCCUACAAUGCAGGAGACCUGGGUUCAAUCCCUUGGUCAGGA